GAUGAACGCUGGCGGCGUGCCUAAUACAUGCAAGUCGAGCGAACAGACGAGGAGCUUGCUCCUCUGACGUUAGCGGCGGACGGGUGAGUAACACGUGGAUAACCUACCUAUAAGACUGGGAUAACUUCGGGAAACCGGAGCUAAUACCGGAUAAUAUAUUGAACCGCAUGGUUCAAUAGUGAAAGACGGUUUUGCUGUCACUUAUAGAUGGAUCCGCGCCGCAUUAGCUAGUUGGUAAGGUAACGGCUUACCAAGGCAACGAUGCGUAGCCGACCUGAGAGGGUGAUCGGCCACACUGGAACUGAGACACGGUCCAGACCCCUACGGGAGGCAGCAGUAGGGAAUCUUCCGCAAUGGGCGCAAGCCUGACGGAACAACGCCGCGUGAGUGAUGAAGGUCUUCGGAUCGUAAAACUCUGUUAUUAGGGAAGAACAAAUGUGUAAGUAACUAUGCACGUCUUGACGGUACCUAAUCAGAAAGCCACGGCUAACUACGUG
This 497-nucleotide ribosomal RNA is filed under the name uncultured bacterium. RNAcentral describes it as "partial 16S ribosomal RNA". It matches the Rfam family "Bacterial small subunit ribosomal RNA", at positions 28 to 507 of the family's 1533-position model. The record is from RNAcentral.